RNAcentral lists this ribosomal RNA (997 nucleotides) under uncultured bacterium. RNAcentral describes it as "bacterial SSU rRNA". It matches the Rfam family "Bacterial small subunit ribosomal RNA", at positions 34 to 1029 of the family's 1533-position model. The record is from RNAcentral.
CGGGAGUGGGGGGCGGCUUACCAUGCAGUCGAGCGGAACGAUGGUAGCUUGCUACCAGGCGUCGAGCGGCGGACGGGUGAGUAAUACUUAGGAAUCUACCUAGUAGUGAGGGAUAGCUCGGGGAAACUCGAAUUAAUACCGCAUACGACCUACGGGAGAAAGGGGGCAACUUGUUGCCCUCGCUAUUAGAUGAGCCUAAGUCGGAUUAGCUAGAUGGUGGGGUAAAGGCCUACCAUGGCGACGAUCUGUAGCUGGUCUGAGAGGAUGAUCAGCCACACCGGGACUGAGACACGGCCCGGACUCCUACGGGAGGCAGCAGUGGGGAAUAUUGGACAAUGGGGGAAACCCUGAUCCAGCCAUGCCGCGUGUGUGAAGAAGGCCUUUUGGUUGUAAAGCACUUUAAGCAGUGAAGAAGACUCCUCGGUUAAUACCCGUGGACGAUGACAUUAGCUGCAGAAUAAGCACCGGCUAACUCUGUGCCAGCAGCCGCGGUAAUACAGAGGGUGCAAGCGUUAAUCGGAAUUACUGGGCGUAAAGCGAGCGUAGGUGGCUUGAUAAGUCAGAUGUGAAAUCCCCGGGCUUAACCUGGGAACUGCAUCUGAAACUGUUAGGCUAGAGUAGGUGAGAGGAAGGUAGAAUUCCAGGUGUAGCGGUGAAAUGCGUAGAGAUCUGGAGGAAUACCGAUGGCGAAGGCAGCCUUCUGGCAUCAUACUGACACUGAGGCUCGAAAGCGUGGGUAGCAAACAGGAUUAGAUACCCUGAUAGUCCACGCCGUAAACGAUGUCUACUAGUCGUUGGGUCCCUUGAGGACUUAGUGACGCAGCUAACGCAAUAAGUAGACCGCCUGGGGAGUACGGCCGCAAGGUUAAAACUCAAUGAAUUGACGGGGGCCCGCACAAGCGGUGGAGCAUGUGUUUAUUCGAUGCAACGCGAGAGCCUUACCUGGUCUUGACUAUCUAGAAUCCUGCAGAGAUGCGGGAGGUGCCUUCGGGAAUUU